UACGUAGGGUGCAAGCGUUAAUCGGAAUUACUGGGCGUAAAGUGUGCGCAGGCGGCUUCGCAAGUCGAGUGUGAAAUCCCCGAGCUUAACUUGGGAAUUGCGCUCGAAACUACGGAGCUGGAGUGUGGCAGAGGAAGGUGGAAUUCCACGUGUAGCGGUGAAAUGCGUAGAGAUGUGGAGGAACACCGAUGGCGAAGGCAGCCUUCUGGGCCAACACUGACGCUCAUGCACGAAAGCGUGGGGAGCAAACAGG
Molecule: ribosomal RNA, 253 nt
Filed under: uncultured bacterium
Lineage: Bacteria
Description: partial 16S ribosomal RNA
Rfam family: Bacterial small subunit ribosomal RNA
Source: RNAcentral